CCUUCAACUACUAACAUCAACCAACUUCACAUCACAACCACCACCACUAUCAAUCACCACCAUCAUUAAAGUUACUACAAUACCAACAAUCAUAACUAUCACCACCAACAUUACUAAUCACUAACGCCAAUUAUUGCCACCACAAUCACCAUUACAAACCAUCCCAAUCACUACCAAACAUAAAUGCUUCUUUUUUCAAUUAAACAAUAAUUUGUGCAUUUAAAUUCAAAAGUUUGAAUUUUAAUAAAGACAAAUGCAGCCUAAACCCAGAACGCAAUAAUUGCUCAAAUCUUUUGCCCGGGCUCGG
RNAcentral lists this long non-coding RNA (307 nucleotides) under Capsicum annuum. RNAcentral describes it as "long non-coding RNA (CANN_LNC001078)". The record is from RNAcentral. Lineage: Eukaryota; Viridiplantae; Streptophyta; Magnoliopsida; Solanales; Solanaceae.